ACGCACUUAACAGCCACCAAACCUGCGAAAAAGAGGCGUACAAACACGACAAAAGGCAGAAGAAUAACAAAAAAUCGGAGAAGAUGCCAAACAGAAUAGAUCUUUAGUGAUUUUGAAUUUUUUUUCUUCCUUUUCUAUUUCGGCUAUUUAAAGCCGUGAAAGAUCAGUGAAUCGGGGGGAUUUUUCGGUGUAAAGGAAUACACAUAGAAACACUGAAAAAUAUAGAGAAAAAGAAAGAAAGAUACAAAAUUUUUUGAAUAUAAAGGUUUUUUUCUUCUGGUGUUCAUUAUUUUUUCAUGUUUAUUGUUGAUUUAUAAAGAGAAGAGAG
Molecule: long non-coding RNA, 328 nt
Filed under: Gossypium raimondii (Peruvian cotton)
Lineage: Eukaryota; Viridiplantae; Streptophyta; Magnoliopsida; Malvales; Malvaceae
Description: long non-coding RNA (GRAI_LNC010286)
Source: RNAcentral